RNAcentral lists this ribosomal RNA (465 nucleotides) under Vreelandella stevensii. Its description in RNAcentral is "partial 16S ribosomal RNA". It matches the Rfam family "Bacterial small subunit ribosomal RNA", at positions 338 to 795 of the family's 1533-position model. Lineage: Bacteria; Pseudomonadati; Pseudomonadota; Gammaproteobacteria; Oceanospirillales; Halomonadaceae. The record is from RNAcentral.
CCUACGGGCGGCUGCAGUGGGGAAUAUUGGACAAUGGGGGCAACCCUGAUCCAGCCAUGCCGCGUGUGUGAAGAAGGCCCUCGGGUUGUAAAGCACUUUCAGUGAGGAAGAACGCCUGGUGGUUAAUACCCAUCAGGAAAGACAUCACUCACAGAAGAAGCACCGGCUAACUCCGUGCCAGCAGCCGCGGUAAUACGGAGGGUGCGAGCGUUAAUCGGAAUUACUGGGCGUAAAGCGCGCGUAGGUGGCUUGAUAAGCCGGUUGUGAAAGCCCCGGGCUCAACCUGGGAACGGCAUCCGGAACUGGCAAGCUAGAGUGCAGGAGAGGAUGGUAGAAUUCCCGGUGUAGCGGUGAAAUGCGUAGAGAUCGGGAGGAAUACCAGUGGCGAAGGCGGCCUUCUGGACUGACGCUGACACUGAGGUGCGAAAGCGUGGGUAGCAAACAGGAUUAGAUAACCCAGUAGUC